GACGAACGCUGGCGGCGUGCUUAACACAUGCAAGUCGAACGGAAAGGCCCUGCUUUUGUGGGGUGCUCGAGUGGCGAACGGGUGAGUAACACGUGAGUAACCUGCCCUUGACUUUGGGAUAACUUCAGGAAACUGGGGCUAAUACCGGAUAGGAGCUCCUGCUGCAUGGUGGGGGUUGGAACGUUUCGGCGGUUGGGGAUGGACUCGCGGCUUAUCAGCUUGUUGGUGGGGUAGUGGCUUACCAAGGCUUUGACGGGUAGCCGGCCUGAGAGGGUGACCGGCCACAUUGGGACUGAGAUACGGCCCAGACGCCUACGGGAGGCAGCAGUGGGGAAUAUUGCACAGUGGGCGGAAGCCUGAUGCAGCAACGCCGCGUGCGGGAUGACGGCCUUCGGGUUGUAAACCGCUUUCGCCUGUGACGAAGCGUGAGUGACGGUAAUGGGUAAAGAAGCACCGGCUAACUACGUG
Molecule: ribosomal RNA, 468 nt
Filed under: uncultured bacterium
Lineage: Bacteria
Description: partial 16S ribosomal RNA
Rfam family: Bacterial small subunit ribosomal RNA
Source: RNAcentral